UAAAAAUGUAAAAUUUUUAUAUAAAAUUAUUAGUAGAUAUGAUCUUUAAAAUUAAAGAUUUUGGCGGUAUUUUAGUCUUUUCAGAGGAACCUGUUCUGUGAUUGAUACUCCACGAUUAAUUUUACUUUAGUUAUUAGUUUGUAUAUCGUUGUAAAAGAAUAUUUUUGUAGAAUUUAAAUAUUCAGGAUUUUUAAUUAUAAAAUAAAUCAAAUCAAGGUGCAGUUUAUAUUAAAGAAGAAAUGGGUUACAAUAAAUAAAUUUUUGGAUUAAAAUUUUAGGUUUUAUGAAAAUGGAUUUGAAAGUAAUUUUUAGUUAAUUAUAAAAAUGAUUUAAGCUCUAAAAUAUGC
RNAcentral lists this ribosomal RNA (347 nucleotides) under Placonotus politissimus. Its description in RNAcentral is "partial 12S ribosomal RNA". The record is from RNAcentral. Lineage: Eukaryota; Metazoa; Arthropoda; Insecta; Coleoptera; Laemophloeidae.